UACUGGUAUUAACCAUGAUAUCUGACUGUUGCUAACCCUAUAGGUACUGGUAUUAACCAUGAUAUCUGACUGUGUUUAACCCUGUAGGUACUGGUAUUAACCAUGAUAUCUGACUGUUUUAACCCUGUAGGUACUGGUAUUAACCAUGAUAUCUGACUGUUGUUAACCCUGUAGGUACUGGUAUUAACCAUGAUAUCUGACUGUUAUUAACCCUGUAGGUACUGGUAUUAACCAUGAUAUCUGACUGUGUUUAACCCUGUAGGUACUGGUAUUAACCAUGAUAUCUGACUGUUGUUAACCCAGUAGGUACUGCUAUUAACCAUGAUAUCUGACUGUGUGUAACCCUGUAGGUACUGGUAUUAACCAUGAUAUGACUGUGUGUAACCCUGUAGGUACUGGUAUUAACCAUGAUAUCUGACUGUGUGUAACCCUGUAGGUACUGGUAUUAACCAUGAUAUCUGACUGUUGUUAACCCAGUAGGUACUGCUAUUAACCAUGAUAUCUGACUGUUGUUAACCCUGUAGGUACUGGUAUUAAACAUGAUAUCUGACUGUUUUUAACCCUGUAGGUACUGCUAUUAACCAUGAUAUCUGACUGUUGUUAACCCUGUAGGUACUGGUAUUAACCAUGAUCUGACUGUUUUUAACCCUGUAGGUACUGGUAUUAACCAUGAUAUCUGACUGUUUUUAACCCUGUAGGUACUGGUAUUAACCAUGAUCUGACUGU
Oncorhynchus keta (chum salmon) is the source of this 726-nucleotide long non-coding RNA. RefSeq lists it as uncharacterized. The record is from RefSeq and is a predicted model, not a curated record. The transcript is spliced from 3 exons. Lineage: Eukaryota; Metazoa; Chordata; Actinopteri; Salmoniformes; Salmonidae.